Molecule: long non-coding RNA, 400 nt
Filed under: Dermacentor andersoni
Lineage: Eukaryota; Metazoa; Arthropoda; Arachnida; Ixodida; Ixodidae
Description: uncharacterized LOC126541439
Source: RNAcentral
GAGGUUGAAACACAUCCUUGAUAAAACAAGUGGUGCCGGUGGUGCUGAGCCCGUCGCAGUCGUGUCAGCACCAAAAGUGGACCUUGGGGAAGGAAUCCUCCUUGAUGAGGCCACGCUGGCACGACUGCAGCGAGACGCAAAAAACUCAGGCUCAAGAUUUGCACGGGGCCUCCUGAAGGUUCUUUUCAGCCCAGAAGAGAUAGAGCAGAAGUCUCUAUUUGGGCGGCGUUCCAAUGCCCACAAGGAUGUCGCCCAAAAAGAGGCUUUGGACCCAAGGCGUGUGAACGCUAUUCUGAGCUACACAGCAAGGCACUUCAACACUGCAGAGAUCAAAAACAUGUAAUCGAUGCUUGCGUACAGGUUUUGAAAUGUGCUAAAUAAAUGUUAGUUUUCAAACAGA